RNAcentral lists this transfer RNA (68 nucleotides) under Boreoheptagyia brevitarsis. RNAcentral describes it as "tRNA-Glu". It matches the Rfam family "tRNA". Rfam says of the family: Transfer RNA (tRNA) molecules are approximately 80 nucleotides in length. The record is from RNAcentral. Lineage: Eukaryota; Metazoa; Arthropoda; Insecta; Diptera; Chironomidae.
AUUUAUAUAGUUUAAAAAAAAACAUUACAUUUUCACUGUAAAAACAAAGAACUAAUCUUUUAUAGAUU